Molecule: ribosomal RNA, 1207 nt
Filed under: uncultured bacterium
Lineage: Bacteria
Description: bacterial SSU rRNA
Rfam family: Bacterial small subunit ribosomal RNA
Source: RNAcentral
CUCGCGGCCUAUCAGCUUCGUUCGGUGGGGGAAAAGGCCUACCAAGGGCCGUUCACCAGGUAGCCGGCCUUGAGAAGGGUGGAACGGCCACAUUUGGGACUGAGAUAACGGCCCAGAACUCCUACGGGAUGGCAGCAGUCGGGGAAAUAUUGCACAAUAGGGCGCAAGCUCUGAACGCAGCGACCCCGCGUUGGGGGAACGAACGGCCUUUCGGGUUGUAAAACUCCUUUCGUUAGGGACGAAAGCCGCACCUGUUUUUGGGUGUUGGUUGACGGUACCUUUUGUUAAGAAAGCACCGGCUAACUACGUGCCAGCCAGCCGCGGUAAUACGUAGGGUUGCGAGCCUUUGUCCGGAAUUACUGGGCGUAAAGAGCUCGUAGGUGGUUUGUUUGCGUCGUCUGUGAAAUUCCGGGGCUUAACUUCGGGGUGGCAGGCGAUACGGGCAUAACUAGAGUGCUGUAGGGGAGACUGGAAUUCCUGGUGUAGCGGUGGAAUGCGCAGAUAUCAGGAGGAACACCGAUGGCGAAGGCAGGUCUCUGGGCAGUAACUGACGCUGAGGAGCGAAAGCAUGGGGAGCGAACAGGAUUAGAUACCCUGGUAGUCCAUGCUGUAAACGGUGGGCGUUAGGUGUGGGGACCGGUUUGGUUUCUGUGCCGUAGCUAACGCAUUAAGCGCCCCGCCUGGGGAGUACGGCCGCAAGGCUAAAACUCAAAGGAAUUGACGGGGGCCCGCACAAGCGGCGGAGCAUGUGGAUUAAUUCGAUGCAACGCGAAGAACCUUACCUGGGUUUGACAUGCACCAGACGGUUGUAGAGAUACGUACCUCCCUUUGUGGUUGGUGUGCAGGUGGUGCAUGGUUGUCGUCAGCUCGUGUCGUGAGAUGUUGGGUUAAGUCCCGCAACGAGCGCAACCCUUGUCUUAUGUUGCCAGCACGUUUGGGUGGGGACUCAUGAGAGACUGCCGGGGUUAACUCGGAGGAAGGUGGGGAUGACGUCAAAUCAUCAUGCCCUUUAUGCCCAGGGCUUCACACAUGCUACAAUGGUUAGUACAACGCGCAGCAAACCUGUGAGGGUGAGCGAAUCGCUGAAAGCUAAUCUCAGUUCGGAUUGGGGUCUGCAACUCGACCCCAUGAAGUCGGAGUCGCUAGUAAUCGCAGAUCAGCAAUGCUGCGGUGAAUACGUCCCCGGGCCUUGUACACACCGCCCGUC